CGGGUGAGUAACGCGUGAGCAACCUGCCUAUGACAGUGGGAUAGCCUCGGGAAACCUGGAUUAAUACCGCAUAAAAUCGUAGAAACACAUGUUUUAACGGUCAAAGAUUUAUCGGUCAUAGAUGGGCUCGCGUCUGAUUAGCUAGUUGGUGAGAUAACAGCCCACCAAGGCGACGAUCAGUAGCCGGUCUGAGAGGAUGAACGGCCACAUUGGAACUGAGACACGGUCCAA
RNAcentral lists this ribosomal RNA (231 nucleotides) under uncultured Eubacteriales bacterium. RNAcentral describes it as "uncultured Clostridiales bacterium partial 16S ribosomal RNA". It matches the Rfam family "Bacterial small subunit ribosomal RNA", at positions 103 to 334 of the family's 1533-position model. Lineage: Bacteria; Bacillati; Bacillota; Clostridia; Eubacteriales. The record is from RNAcentral.